This is a long non-coding RNA of Mytilus californianus (California mussel), 2010 nucleotides long. RefSeq lists it as uncharacterized. The record is from RefSeq and is a predicted model, not a curated record. The transcript is spliced from 3 exons. NCBI's taxonomy places the organism in Eukaryota, Metazoa, Mollusca, Bivalvia, Mytilida, Mytilidae.
UUUUUUAACUUUCUAAAACAACUUCAUAAAUAGGAGAAGUGGUGUGAUGAGAAGAGCCUACAAAUGUAAAUGUAUCUAAAUUGAAGGAAAGAUCAAAAUUGGUUUACUAGUUAAACAGACAAACACCAUGACCAAGGAGAAACAGACAAAGAUACAAAGAAGCUCAUAAAUACUUCAUUGGAAACUAAUGACAGAAGAACAGAAACCCUACUAAUAAUCGGGUUAAACUUAGGUGUUCCAAAAUGUAACAGCUCCUGAUUUACUAUAUGCCGUGUUUCUCAGGCCAAGACAAGCUGAUCUCUUGCUUUGGCCCGGAAAUGACUCGACGGAGAAAUACUUAUAUGAACACCUAGUAAAAACAAUUGGUACUGAAAUCCACAUACGAAAUAGACAACGACUUUUUAUCAUAAAAGAUGUGAUCGAAAAUACAGAGUUGACUUAUUCUACACACAUAUCAAGUGGAAGUUUGGCAGAAGGACUCGAAUUACCAGGCAGUGACCUCGAUUUAAUGAAUGUAAUUGAUGACGUAGACGUAUUACAAAAUGAAAGGAAUAUCAAAUACCCAAUACAUUGUACUACACUAAUUAUGGAGACAGAUAUUGAUCAUCCUGGAUUUACUAGACUUCGAUUGGUAGCAAAAGAGGAUGGGGAAUCCAUCCUUGUUCUAUGUGCCGGUGAAAGAUAUUAUCUAUCAGUAAGCAGCUUUAAUUGAUAGUUUUAAGAAAAUGUAUACUAAUAUGCCGGUUUUUUUACACGGUCCAUGUCUAUCAGACGAAGACCAGACACAUGAUAUUGCAUUCUGCUUAUGGAGUAAAUAUCUUCCUCACAACAUGAUUCCAUGGUCUUCGACGCCAAUGGCCCCCUAAUUUUGUAAUUGACAGGAUCAUCAAUUACGGCUGCUUGUUAGUACCUAUAGGAUCUAAUGCGUUAUCAUAUAGUGACUUAUUAUGGAGAUUGUCUUUCUCUGUGGCAGAAAAACUACUUGUACAUUCCUUUAAUUUCACUCAACUUUUAUGUUACGGUCUUCUCAAAUUAACAUUAAAGCGUAUCGUUAACAAAAAAGAUCAUGUCAGAGACUUACUGUGUUCUUACUUUCUUAAGACGUCUUUAUUCUGGGUUUCAGAGGAAGUGGAUAUUGACACAUUUCAAUUACCGAACUUGUUCAAAUGUUUUUUUCUCUGCAUAAACAAAUUAAGAGCAUGGGUAAACAACUGUUAUUGACCAAACUAUUUUAUACCUGAGCAAAAUAUGUUCUUAAGAAAGAUCACUCCAGAUAACAAUAAACUCCUACUAAGUGUUAUUGAUAGCAUAAAGUUUGAUGGAAUUGAUGGGUUGAUGAAUACUAUAUUUCCGCUCGACAAUAAACAUUAUCGUUUAUUAUGUUCAAACAGUGAACAUUCAUUAAUUAUGCUAGAUUUCCUAUUUUACCGGAUUUGCUCGAUAUUGCCUCCUUCAGACAUUUCACAUUGGUAUAAAGUACAAACAUUCAUUGAAUCAUUACUUAAGUCCGAAUCAUCUUCAUUUAUCAUUGGUGUAUGUAAAUACAAAUAUGCGAUAAUUAGUCAUUAUGCAGCACAACUACUACCAUCACUGACCACAACUACAACAACUGCAAAGUACAACAUACACAAACUGUAUCAUAGUCACAUGCAAGUCGGUUUGAAGACAGAUGCUGUGUCUGGAUGGUUGUUAUAUGCAUCGUUUUAUUAUGUAACAAAACAGUACAGUGUAACACUCAGGCUAUUAGAUUAUGUUCUAUCAAAGUGUACACCUAAUACUGUAGUGGUAGACCGUGUUACUAGUACAAAUGAAGAUUUAGGCUUUGUCAACUAUGAUGUAAGAUAUAUAAAUAUGUAUAGACAAAGUGUAAAUUCUAAAAUGUCAUUGAAUGACAGGAUGAAAAUAGCCGUUUUAAGCAAUAUCAGGUUCCUACAACACUCGUCAUUAAUACCAGAAGAGCUACAGCUAGAGGUGAAAGACAAGGAUUUGGACAUACAUCCUGUCGUGUUG